CUCCACUGUGAGACAAACCCCAGCCACAUCUCCAGCACACAAGAACUUCUAAACGCCUGAACUGCAGUGGCCAGGCGUUCCUCUAGAACCUCCUCCCACAGGAGCUUGCUACAAGUGCCAGAAAUCUGACCACCAAGCCAAGGAAUGCCCACAGCCCAGGGUUCCUCCUAAGCUGCGUCCCAUCUGUGUGGGACCCCACUGAAAAUCGGACUGUUCAACUCACCUGGCAGCCACUCCCAGAGGCCCUGGAACUCUGGCCCAAGGCUCUCUGACUGACUCCUUCCCAGAUCUUCUCGGCUUAGCGGCUGAAGACUGACACUGCCCAAUCGCCUCGGAAGCCCCCAGACCAUCACGGACGCCGAGCUUCGGGUAACUCUCACAGUGGAAGGUUCCCACGCCGACCCUAAUGCCGCUUGAAGCAGCCCUGAGAAACAUCGCCCAUUCUCUCUCUCCAUAUCACCCCCCAAAAAUUUUUGCCACCCCAACACUUCAACACUAUUUUGUUUUAUUUUUCUUAUUAAUAUAAGAAGGCAGGAAUGUCAGGCCUCUGAGCCCAAGCCAAGCCAUCGCAUCCCCUGUGACUUGCACGUAUACGCCCAGAUGGCCUGAAGUAACUGAAGAAUCACAAAAGAAGUGAAUAUGCCCUGCCUCACCUUAGCUGAUGACAUUCUACCACAAAAGAAGUGUAAAUGGCCAGUCCUUGCCUUAAGUGAUGACAUUACCUUGUGAAAGUCCUUUCCCUGGCUCAUCCUGGCUCAAAAAGCACCCCCACUGAGCACCUUGCCACCCCCACUCCUGCCCGCCAGAGAACAAACCCUCUUUGACUGUAAUUUUCCUUUACCUUCCCAAAUCCUAUAAAACGGCCCCACCCUUAUCUCCCUUCGCUGACUCUCUUUUCAGACUCAGCCCGCCUGCACCCAGGUGAUUAAAAGCUUUAUUGCUCACACAAAGCCUGUUUGGUGGUCUCUUCACAGGGACGCGCAUGAAACCCGCCACCACGCCCGGCUAAUUUUUUGUAUUUUUAGUAGAGAAGGGGUUUCACCAUGUUAGCCAAGAUGGUCUCAAUCUCCUGACCUUGUGAUCCACCCUCCUCAGCCUCCCAAAGUGCUGGGAUCACAGGCGUGAGCCACCGUGCCCGGCCGUAAGUAGUAAUUUGAAUGAUUUCUACGUCAAAGAUAUGGCUACAGGCCAAGAAAAUACAGUGGUGGGUUAACAGACACAGUCUUGGCCCUAAAAAGGUUUACAGUCUAGUGGGAGAAGUAGCCUCAAAUAAGGGACUAGACAAAUACAUAUACCAUAUUUAUUUUUAUAUUAAAUUAUAAAAGGAAAUGACUAAGAAUCUGAUCUCAGAUUUAAAAAAAAAAAAUCUGUCUCCACAAAAUUGUUUAUGUUGUGUGAUGUCCCAUUCCUUUUGCUCAUCUAUGUAAAUAUUAUCCAAUUUCUUUUGUUUAUACAUCCUAUCACAUUGCCCUACACUUAGUAGAC
This 1485-nucleotide long non-coding RNA is filed under the name Homo sapiens (human). RNAcentral describes it as "HSALNT0318697". Lineage: Eukaryota; Metazoa; Chordata; Mammalia; Primates; Hominidae. The record is from RNAcentral.